UACGUAGGACCCGAGCGUUGUCCGGAUUUACUGGGUAUAAAGGGUGCGCAGGCGGAUCUGUGCGUCGAAGGUUAAAGACCAGAGCUCAACUCUGGGAGUGCCUUCGAUACGGCAGAUCUUGAGUACGAGAGAGGAUAGUAGAAUUCCUGGUGUAGCGGUGAAAUGCGUAGAUAUCAGGAGGAAUACCAGUGGCGAAGGCGGCUAUCUGGCUCGUAACUGACGCUCAGGCACGAAAGCGUGGGGAUCAAACAGGAUUAGAUACCCUGGUAGUCCACGCCUUAAACGAUGUAUGCUUGGUGUUGGAGCUUUUGCUUCAGUGCCGGAGGAAACCCAUUAAGCAUACCACCUGGGGAGUACGAUCGCAAGGUUGAA
Molecule: ribosomal RNA, 372 nt
Filed under: uncultured bacterium
Lineage: Bacteria
Description: bacterial SSU rRNA
Rfam family: Bacterial small subunit ribosomal RNA
Source: RNAcentral